UACGUAGGGUGCAAGCGUUGUCCGGAAUUAUUGGGCGUAAAGAGCUUGUAGGCGGUUUGUCGCGUCUGCUGUGAAAUUUCGGGGCUCAACCCCGAACUUGCAGUGGGUACGGGCAGACUAGAGUGUGGAGGGGAGACUGGAAUUCCUGGUGUAGCGGUGAAAUGCGCAGAUAUCAGGAGGAACACCGAUGGCGAAGGCAGGUCUCUGGGCCACUACUGACUGAGAAGCGAAAGCUGGGAGCAACAG
This 246-nucleotide ribosomal RNA is filed under the name uncultured bacterium. RNAcentral's name for it is "partial 16S ribosomal RNA". It matches the Rfam family "Bacterial small subunit ribosomal RNA", at positions 524 to 775 of the family's 1533-position model. The record is from RNAcentral.